UGUGCGUUGGUGAACCAGCGGAGGGAUCAUUA
RNAcentral lists this ribosomal RNA (32 nucleotides) under Ophiocordyceps sinensis. Its description in RNAcentral is "partial 18S ribosomal RNA". Lineage: Eukaryota; Fungi; Ascomycota; Sordariomycetes; Hypocreales; Ophiocordycipitaceae. The record is from RNAcentral.